RNAcentral lists this ribosomal RNA (377 nucleotides) under uncultured bacterium. RNAcentral's name for it is "bacterial SSU rRNA". It matches the Rfam family "Bacterial small subunit ribosomal RNA", at positions 521 to 896 of the family's 1533-position model. The record is from RNAcentral.
UAAUACAGAGGGUGCAAGCGUUGUUCGGAAUUACUGGGCGUAAAGCGCGUGUAGGCGGCUUAUUAAGUCGGACGUGAAAUCCCUUGGCUUAACCAAGGAACUGCGUCCGAUACUGUUAGGCUUGAGUGUCGGAGGGGGUGGCGGAAUUCCUGGUGUAGAGGUGAAAUUCGUAGAUAUCAGGAGGAACACCUGUGGCGAAGGCGGCCACCUGGAAGACAACUGACGCUGAGACGCGAAAGCGUGGGGAGCAAACAGGAUUAGAUACCCUGGUAGUCCACGCCGUAAACGAUGAGUGCUAGGUGUUGCGGGUAUUGACCCCUGCAGUGCCAAAGCUAACGCGUUAAGCACUCCGCCUGGGGAGUACGGUCGCAAGAUUA